AAAAGGCAGGAUCUCAGAAGAAGAAAAAGACAACUUCUCCUGCUUUUUCAACUCCCAACUGAUUUUUCAACAUUGAAUGAAUUAGUCCAAAUGAAGAAAAUAGUCUCUCUGUGCCUGCAGAAGCAGCUACUGCUAUCAAAAACUGGUUUAGCCCUUCAACAAAUUCUGAUUCCAGGUGCUUAGCCAGUGACUUCCCCCGGUUCAGUUGUUGACAACGAUUAGGAGAAUUCUUUAUUAGGACCCUGUCCCCCUCCCAUACAGGUUCACCCCCUUAAAUUAGCUUCUAUCAACUAUGGCAAUCCCCAAAAAUCACAUUAAUCACUGUUAAAGGUGAAAAAUAAAUACGGUUUAUUAUAAAUAAGGCUACAUUUUAGUCACGCGUAGUUUUAGUAAAAGUCAUGGACAGGUCAUGGGUGAUAAACAAAAAUUCAUGGCCCAUAACCUGUCCAUGACUUGUACUAUAUAUCCCUGACUAAAUCUUGACUUCCAUGACAAACUCACAACCUUAAUUAUAAACACUUGGUGGUUUAAAACCCAGAUAGGUUUUAAGCCCAGACCCAAACUAAAAGCAUACGUGGGUUAUAAAAGACCACAAGUAAGUUAUUUACUUUACUGAGUCUUGUGGAGGAAUGGAGCCAAACAAAUCUGGAUCCGGAGCCUCAGGAGCUCGAACCAGGACCAACAGGAAACCAGGGACCCAGGAACCACAGGAUGACAUGCCACAGUGGAGAUCUCAGGAAAAGUGGAUUACAGACUCAGACCAUGUCUACCCUACAAACUUUGGUUGAUGCAAGUUACAUCGGUGUACAACAAUCAAAGUUUGUACAUUGCUUAUAAAGAGCUUGCUGCAUGCACUGGCAAAGCACAUACUCACCAGGAGUGCUUACAUCAGUGUAAAGUGCAGUGCACUAUGGGCAGGUAACCCAGAGUGCCACACAUUUCCAUGCGGCAUGAUGCCUUUUCGGACAUUUUUGCAUUGUUUAGUGCGAUAGUAAACAUUCACCCAAGAAUUUUUGCAGGGUGGAUACAAAUUGAUUUAAAAAUAUAUAUAUAAAAUCAGAUAUUUGUAUUUAAAUUGCAUUUUUGUUUUGUUAUUUAAAGUAAAAGCUAUAACAAACUGUGAAAAAAAAUUCAAGUGUCAAAUGCAUAGCUUUGGCACAGAUGAUGCAAAUGCAGCCAAGAAGAGAAGAAAUCUUAAGUACAACUCCAGGAAUAAAGGACGUCAUCGAAAUUGCAAAAAUACUUCUGUAAUAACCACUUUGCUUCAGCUUCGCUAAAGAGAGCAGGAGGAUCCAAACUAAUUCUCCCCCAGAAUGUACAAUGGAAUUUAGUAGUUGACUGUUUUGAGCUAUUUAUAAAGAUCUGGCCUAUUCUGAUGACAAUUUCUGAAAAAAAUCAUGACAAAAUAGAUGGAACUGUCACAGCCAAAGUAAUCAACACUGGACUAAAGAGAAAUGUAGAAGACAGGCUGAACAUACUGAAACCAGUUUCCAUAGCCUUGGACAAACUGCAGAAAGAUUGCUGCUGUAUUGCUGAUGCUGCUGAAAUUUGGAAAGAAUUUCAAGAGACAUUGAAGAAAGAAAUGUCCCACAACAAAGUUAAAUUGCAGGCAGUAAAGAAGUGGAUGGAUCAAGCACGUAUUCCACCUCAUUUUCUUGACAAUAUUCGCAAUCCAAAAUAGCAGGGUAGAUGCCUAACUGCUGAAGAAGAUGCUGCUGCUAUGAUCUGGGCAUUUAAGAAUCACUAGGGCUGUCAAGCGAUUA
Long non-coding RNA from Chelonia mydas (Green sea turtle), 1763 nucleotides. RefSeq lists it as uncharacterized. The transcript is spliced from 3 exons. The record is from RefSeq and is a predicted model, not a curated record. Lineage: Eukaryota; Metazoa; Chordata; Testudines; Cheloniidae.